RNAcentral lists this ribosomal RNA (253 nucleotides) under uncultured bacterium. RNAcentral's name for it is "partial 16S ribosomal RNA". It matches the Rfam family "Bacterial small subunit ribosomal RNA", at positions 524 to 776 of the family's 1533-position model. The record is from RNAcentral.
UACGUAGGGUGCGAGCGUUAAUCGGAAUUACUGGGCGUAAAGCGUGCGCAGGCGGCUUUGCAAGACAGAUGUGAAAUCCCCGGGCUCAACCUGGGAACUGCAUUUGUGACUGCAAGGCUAGAGUACGGUAGAGGGGGAUGGAAUUCCGCGUGUAGCAGUGAAAUGCGUAGAUAUGCGGAGGAACACCAAUGGCGAAGGCAAUCCCCUGGGCCUGUACUGACGCUCAUGCACGAAAGCGUGGGGAGCAAACAGG